UGGGGAAUAUUGGACAAUGGGCGAAAGCCUGAUCCAGCCAUGCCGCGUGUGUGAAGAAGGUCUUCGGAUUGUAAAGCACUUUAAGUUGGGAGGAAGGGCAGUAAAUUAAUACUUUGCUGUUUUGACGUUACCGACAGAAUAAGCACCGGCUAACUCUGUGCCAGCAGCCGCGGUAAUACAGAGGGUGCAAGCGUUAAUCGGAAUUACUGGGCGUAAAGCGCGCGUAGGUGGUUUGUUAAGUUGGAUGUGAAAUCCCCGGGCUCAACCUGGGAACUGCAUCCAAAACUGGCAAGCUAGAGUAUGGUAGAGGGUGGUGGAAUUUCCUGUGUAGCGGUGAAAUGCGUAGAUAUAGGAAGGAACACCAGUGGCGAAGGCGACCACCUGGACUGAUACUGACACUGAGGUGCGAAAGCGUGGGGAGCAAACA
RNAcentral lists this ribosomal RNA (427 nucleotides) under uncultured Pseudomonas sp. Its description in RNAcentral is "bacterial SSU rRNA". It matches the Rfam family "Bacterial small subunit ribosomal RNA", at positions 355 to 774 of the family's 1533-position model. Lineage: Bacteria; Pseudomonadati; Pseudomonadota; Gammaproteobacteria; Pseudomonadales; Pseudomonadaceae. The record is from RNAcentral.